UCAAACGAGAGUGGCUGGAAGUGCUGGAG
RNAcentral lists this non-coding RNA (29 nucleotides) under Homo sapiens (human). The record is from RNAcentral. Lineage: Eukaryota; Metazoa; Chordata; Mammalia; Primates; Hominidae.